This is a non-coding RNA of Paragonimus skrjabini miyazakii, 81 nucleotides long. NCBI's taxonomy places the organism in Eukaryota, Metazoa, Platyhelminthes, Trematoda, Plagiorchiida, Troglotrematidae. The record is from the annotation of a GenBank genome assembly.
GACUUCAUAGUUCAGCUGGUAAAGUAUAUGCUGCGGCUGGACAUGUUGUUUCUUUCGCUGGUUCGAAUCCAGUUGAAGUCU